This 253-nucleotide ribosomal RNA is filed under the name uncultured bacterium. RNAcentral describes it as "partial 16S ribosomal RNA". It matches the Rfam family "Bacterial small subunit ribosomal RNA", at positions 524 to 776 of the family's 1533-position model. The record is from RNAcentral.
UACGAAGGGGGCUAGCGUUGCUCGGAAUUACUGGGCGUAAAGCGCACGUAGGCGGCUCUUUAAGUCGGGGGUGAAAUCCUGGAGCUCAACUCCAGAACUGCCUUCGAUACUGUAGAGCUUGAGUUCGGGAGAGGUGAGUGGAACUGCGAGUGUAGAGGUGAAAUUCGUAGAUAUUGGGAAGAACACCAGUGGCGAAGGCGGCUAACUGGUCCAGCACUGACGCUGAGGUGCGAAAGCGUGGGGAGCAAACAGG